GAUGAACGCUAGCGACAGGCCUAACACAUGCAAGUCGAGGGGCAGCACAAGGAGCAAUCUGAGGUGGCGACCGGCGCACGGGUGAGUAACACGUAGGGAACCUACCUAUACGACGAGGAUAACUACUGGAAACGGUAGCUAAAACUGGAUAGGAUCAAUUGAGGCAUCUUGAUUGAUUUAAAGAUCCUUCGGGAUUACGUAGAGAUGGCCCUGCGGCGCAUUAGCUAGUUGGUGAGGUAACGGCCCACCAAGGCGACGAUGCGUAGCUGAGCUGAGAGGCUAAACAGCCACACUGGGACUGAGACACGGCCCAGACUCCUACGGGAGGCAGCAGUCGGGAAUCUUCCACAAUGGGCGAAAGCCUGAUGGAGCGACGCCGCGUGAGUGAUGAAGGUCUUCGGAUCGUAAAGCUCUGUUACCAGGGACGAAACAAGACGGUACCUGGGGAGGAAGCCACGGCUAACUACGUGCCAGCAGCCGCGGUAAA
Molecule: ribosomal RNA, 487 nt
Filed under: uncultured bacterium
Lineage: Bacteria
Description: bacterial SSU rRNA
Rfam family: Bacterial small subunit ribosomal RNA
Source: RNAcentral